GUGCUCACUUCAGCAGCACAUAUACUAGAAUUGGAACAAUAUGGAGAUUAGCAUGGCCCCUGUAUAAGGAUGACCCACAAAUUUUGUGAAGCAUCCCAUAAAAAA
Molecule: small nuclear RNA, 105 nt
Organism: Psammomys obesus (fat sand rat)
Lineage: Eukaryota; Metazoa; Chordata; Mammalia; Rodentia; Muridae
Source: RefSeq, a predicted model, not a curated record